This 303-nucleotide ribosomal RNA is filed under the name uncultured bacterium. RNAcentral's name for it is "partial 16S ribosomal RNA". It matches the Rfam family "Bacterial small subunit ribosomal RNA", at positions 507 to 807 of the family's 1533-position model. The record is from RNAcentral.
AGCAGCCGCCGCGGUAAUACGUAGGUGGCAAGCGUUGUCCGGAAUUAUUGGGCGUAAAGGGCUCGCAGGCGGUUUCUUAAGUCUGAUGUGAAAGCCCCCGGCUCAACCGGGGAGGGUCAUUGGAAACUGGGAAACUUGAGUGCAGAAGAGGAGAGUGGAAUUCCACGUGUAGCGGUGAAAUGCAUAGAGAUGUGGAGGAACACCAGUGGCGAAGGCGACUCUCUGGUCUGUAGCUGACGCUGAGGAGCGAAAGCGUGGGGAGCGAACAGGAUUAGAUACCCCGGUAGUCCCUGUCUCUUAUAC